CUAGUGGCGGACGGGUGAGUAACACGUGGGCAACCUGCCCUACAGCCUGGGAUACCAUCGGGAAACUGAUGUUAAUACCGGAUACGCUCUUUUGAUCGCAUGAUCUAAGGAGGAAAGAUUUAUCGCUGUAGGAUGGGCCCGCGGUCCAUUAGCUAGUUGGUAGGGUAACGGCCUACCAAGGCGACGAUGGAUAGCUGGUCUGAGAGGACGAUCAGCCACACUGGGACUGAGACACGGCCCAGACUCCUACGGGAGGCAGCAGUGGGGAAUAUUGCGCAAUGGGGGCAACCCUGACGCAGCAAUGCCGCGUGAAGGAUGAAGGCUUUCGGGUCGUAAACUUCUGUCUAGAGGGAUGAAAUUUUGACAGUACCUCUGGAGGAAGCCCCGGCUAACUACGUGCCAGCAGCCGCGGUAAUACGUAGGGGGCAAGCGUUGUCCGGAAUCACUGGGCGUAAAGCGCGCGUAGGUGGU
This 471-nucleotide ribosomal RNA is filed under the name uncultured Proteinivoraceae bacterium. Its description in RNAcentral is "bacterial SSU rRNA". It matches the Rfam family "Bacterial small subunit ribosomal RNA", at positions 92 to 579 of the family's 1533-position model. Lineage: Bacteria; Bacillati; Bacillota; Clostridia; Eubacteriales; Proteinivoracaceae. The record is from RNAcentral.